Molecule: ribosomal RNA, 497 nt
Filed under: uncultured bacterium
Lineage: Bacteria
Description: partial 16S ribosomal RNA
Rfam family: Bacterial small subunit ribosomal RNA
Source: RNAcentral
GACGAACGCUGGCGGCGUGCCUAAUACAUGCAAGUUGAUCGCUGAAGGUUGGUACUUGUACCCACUGGAUGAGCAGCGAACGGGUGAGUAACGCGUGGGGAAUCUGCCUUUGAGCGGGGGACAACAUUUGGAAACGAAUGCUAAUACCGCAUAAAAACUUUAAACACAAGUUUUAAGUUUGAAAGAUGCAAUUGCAUCACUCAAAGAUGAUCCCGCGUUGUAUUAGCUAGUUGGUGAGGUAAAGGCUCACCAAGGCGAUGAUACAUAGCCGACCUGAGAGGGUGAUCGGCCACAUUGGGACUGAGACACGGCCCAAACUCCUACGGGAGGCAGCAGUAGGGAAUCUUCGGCAAUGGACGAAAGUCUGACCGAGCAACGCCGCGGGAGUGAAGAAGGGUUUCGGAUCGUAAAACUCUGUUGGUAGAGAAGAACGUUGGUGAGAGUGGAAAGCUCAUCAAGUGACGGUAACUACCCAGAAAGGGACGGCUAACUACGUG